This 1990-nucleotide ribosomal RNA is filed under the name human gut metagenome. Its description in RNAcentral is "bacterial LSU rRNA". It matches the Rfam family "Bacterial large subunit ribosomal RNA", at positions 831 to 2841 of the family's 2925-position model. The record is from RNAcentral.
AAUCGAACCCGGAGAUAGCUGGUUCUCCCCGAAAUAGCUUUAGGGCUAGCGUCGGAAUGAACCCAUGUGAAGGUAGAGCACUGAAUGUGUGAUGGCCCCAUCCCGGGGUACUGAAUACAAUCAAACUCCGAAUGUCAUGUGGGAUGUCCGGCAGUCAGACUGUGAGUGAUAAGGUCCAUGGUCGAGAGGGAAACAGCCCAGACCGCCAGUUAAGGUCCCAAAAUGCAGGCUAAGUGGAAAAGGAUGUGGGGAUGCCCAGACAACUAGGAGGUUGGCUCAGAAGCAGCCACCCUUUAAAGAGUGCGUAACAGCUCACUAGUCGAGUGACCCUGCGCCGAAAAUGUACCGGGGCUAAGCCUGAUACCGAAACUGCGGAAUCGAAUGAUUGGUAGGGGAGCGUUGUAUACGGGUGGAAGCCGUACCGUGAGGAGCGGUGGACUGUAUAGAAGUGAGAAUGCCGGUGUGAGUAGCGAGAUGUAGGUGAGAAUCCUACACACCGAAAGCCCAAGGAUUCCAGGGGAAGGUUCGUCCGCCCUGGGUAAGUCGGGACCUAACGCGAGGCCGAAAGGCGUAGUGGAUGGAAAGCAGGCGGAGAUUCCUGCACCCGUAUGUGGAGCGAUGGAGUGACGGAGACGGCUAAUGUGACCCUCUUAACGGAUUGAGGGCGAAGCGGGGUAGCGGUCGACCAGGCAAAUCCGGUCGGCGUAACGCGAAGACGUGACAGGGAAGCGAACGCUUCGGCAAGUAGCGAAGCACAUGAGGCCGGCUUCCAAGAAAAGCUUCUGGCAAUGCACAUGCGGCCCGUACCAAAACCGACACAGGUGGGCAGGUAGAGGAUACCAAGGUGAGCGAGAGAACUGUUGCCAAGGAACUCGGCAAAAUGGCUCCGUACGUUCGCAAGAAGGAGCGCUUAUGAAAAUAAGCCGCAGUGAAUAGGCCCAAGCGACUGUUUAACUAAAACACAGCUCUCUGCGAAGUCGCAAGACGAAGUAUAGGGGGUGACACCUGCCCGGUGCCGGAAGGUUAAGAGGAUCUGUCAAUCGCAAGAUGAAGCAGUGAGUUGAAGCCCCGGUGAACGGCGGCCGUAACUAUAACGGUCCUAAGGUAGCGAAAUUCCUUGUCAGGUAAGUUCUGACCCGCACGAAAGGUGUAACGAUUUGGGCGCUGUCUCGGCAGCAGGCUCGGUGAAAUCUUAGUACCUGUGAAAAUGCAGGUUACCCGCAACUAGACGGAAAGACCCCAUGGAGCUUUACUGUAGCCUGGUAUUGGAUUUUGGUCAGACAUGUACAGGAUAGGUGGGAGACUGUGAGACGUGCACGCCAGUGUACGAGGAGUCGCCGUUGGGAUACCACUCUUGUGUGAUCGGAGUUCUAACCUGGUGGCCUGAAGCGGCCACAGGGAGAGUGCCAGGUGGGCAGUUUGACUGGGGCGGUCGCCUCCCAAAGAGUAACGGAGGCGCCCAAAGGUACGCUCAGAUUGGAUGGAAACCAAUCGACGAGUGCAAAUGCAGAAGCGUGCUUGACUGUGAGAGCAACAACUCGAACAGGGACGAAAGUCGGGAUUAGUGAUCCGGCGGUGCCGAAUGGAAGGGCCGUCGCUCAACGGAUAAAAGCUACCCUGGGGAUAACAGGCUGAUCUCCCCCAAGAGUCCACAUCGACGGGGAGGUUUGGCACCUCGAUGUCGGCUCAUCGCAUCCUGGGGCUGAAGUAGGUCCCAAGGGUUGGGCUGUUCGCCCAUUAAAGCGGUACGCGAGCUGGGUUCAGAACGUCGUGAGACAGUUCGGUCCCUAUCUGUUGUGGGCGAAGGAGAUUUGAGGAGAGCUGCCCUUAGUACGAGAGGACCGGGGUGGACCUACCGCUGGUGCACCAGUUGUAUCGCCAGAUGCAUAGCUGGGUAGCUAAGUAGGGAAGGGAUAAGCGCUGAAAGCAUCUAAGCACGAAGCCUACUCCAAGAUGAGAUCUCCCAUUCGCAAGAAGUAAGACCCCUUGA